This 248-nucleotide ribosomal RNA is filed under the name uncultured bacterium. RNAcentral's name for it is "partial 16S ribosomal RNA". It matches the Rfam family "Bacterial small subunit ribosomal RNA", at positions 525 to 772 of the family's 1533-position model. The record is from RNAcentral.
ACGUAUGGAGCAAGCGUUAUCCGGAUUUACUGGGUGUAAAGGGAGCGCAGGCGGUACGGCAAGUCCGAUGUGAAAGCCCGGGGCUCAACCCCGGGACUGCAUUGGAAACUGCCGCACUAGAGUGCCGGAGAGGUAAGUGGAAUUCCUAGUGUAGCGGUGAAAUGCGUAGAUAUUAGGAGGAACACCAGUGGCGAAGGCGGCUUACUGGACGGUAACUGACGCUGAGGCUCGAAAGCGUGGGGAGCAAA